This 909-nucleotide ribosomal RNA is filed under the name Cumuliphoma omnivirens. RNAcentral describes it as "LSU rRNA". It matches the Rfam family "Eukaryotic large subunit ribosomal RNA", at positions 38 to 965 of the family's 3401-position model. Lineage: Eukaryota; Fungi; Ascomycota; Dothideomycetes; Pleosporales; Didymellaceae. The record is from RNAcentral.
GCAUAUCAAUAAGCGGAGGAAAAGAAACCAACAGGGAUUGCCCUAGUAACGGCGAGUGAAGCGGCAACAGCUCAAAUUUGAAAUCUGGCGUCUUCGGCGUCCGAGUUGUAAUUUGCAGAGGGCGCUUUGGCAUUGGCAGCGGUCCAAGUUCCUUGGAACAGGACGUCACAGAGGGUGAGAAUCCCGUACGUGGUCGCUAGCCUUUACCGUGUAAAGCCCCUUCGACGAGUCGAGUUGUUUGGGAAUGCAGCUCUAAAUGGGAGGUAAAUUUCUUCUAAAGCUAAAUACUGGCCAGAGACCGAUAGCGCACAAGUAGAGUGAUCGAAAGAUGAAAAGCACUUUGGAAAGAGAGUUAAAAAGCACGUGAAAUUGUUGAAAGGGAAGCGCUUGCAGCCAGACUUGCCUGUAGUUGCUCAUCCGGGUUUCUACCCGGUGCACUCUUCUAUAGGCAGGCCAGCAUCAGUUUGGGCGGUUGGAUAAAGGUCUCUGUCAUGUACCUCUCUUCGGGGAGAACUUAUAGGGGAGACGACAUGCAACCAGCCCGGACUGAGGUCCGCGCAUCUGCUAGGAUGCUGGCGUAAUGGCUGUAAGCGGCCCGUCUUGAAACACGGACCAAGGAGUCUAACAUCUAUGCGAGUGUUUGGGUGUCAAGCCCGAGCGCGUAAUGAAAGUGAACGGAGGUGGGAACCUUUCGGGGUGCACCAUCGACCGAUCCUGAUGUCUUCGGAUGGAUUUGAGUAAGAGCAUAGCUGUUGGGACCCGAAAGAUGGUGAACUAUGCUUGAAUAGGGUGAAGCCAGAGGAAACUCUGGUGGAGGCUCGCAGCGGUUCUGACGUGCAAAUCGAUCGUCAAAUUUGGGCAUAGGGGCGAAAGACUAAUCGAACUAUCUAGUAGCUGGUUCCUGCCGAA